GACGAACGCUGGCGGCGUGCCUAAUACAUGCAAGUCGAACGAACUCUGGUAUUGAUUGGUGCUUGCAUCAUGAUUUACAUUUGAGUGAGUGGCGAACUGGUGAGUAACACGUGGGAAACCUGCCCAGAAGCGGGGGAUAACACCUGGAAACAGAUGCUAAUACCGCAUAACAACUUGGACCGCAUGGUCCGAGCUUGAAAGAUGGCUUCGGCUAUCACUUUUGGAUGGUCCCGCGGCGUAUUAGCUAGAUGGUGGGGUAACGGCUCACCAUGGCAAUGAUACGUAGCCGACCUGAGAGGGUAAUCGGCCACAUUGGGACUGAGACACGGCCCAAACUCCUACGGGAGGCAGCAGUAGGGAAUCUUCCACAAUGGACGAAAGUCUGAUGGAGCAACGCCGCGUGAGUGAAGAAGGGUUUCGGCUCGUAAAACUCUGUUGUUAAAGAAGAACAUAUCUGAGAGUAACUGUUCAGGUAUUGACGGUAUUUAACCAGAAAGCCACGGCUAACUACGUGCCAGCAGCCGCGGUAAUACGUAGGUGGCAAGCGUUGUCCGGAUUUAUUGGGCGUAAAGCGAGCGCAGGCGGUUUUUUAAGUCUGAUGUGAAAGCCUUCGGCUCAACCGAAGAAGUGCAUCGGAAACUGGGAAACUUGAGUGCAGAAGAGGACAGUGGAACUCCAUGUGUAGCGGUGAAAUGCGUAGAUAUAUGGAAGAACACCAGUGGCGAAGGCGGCUGUCUGGUCUGUAACUGACGCUGAGGCUCGAAAGUAUGGGUAGCAAACAGGAUUAGAUACCCUGGUAGUCCAUACCGUAAACGAUGAAUGCUAAGUGUUGGAGGGUUUCCGCCCUUCAGUGCUGCAGCUAACGCAUUUAGCAUUCCGCCUGGGGAGUACGGCCGCAAGGCUGAAACUCAAAAGGAAUUGACGGGGGCCCGCACAAGCGGUGGAGCAUGUGGUUUAAUUCGAAGCUACGCGAAGAACCUUACCAGGUCUUGACAUACUAUGCAAAUCUAAGAGAUUAGACGUUCCCUUCGGGGACAUGGAUACAGGUGGUGCAUGGUUGUCGUCAGCUCGUGUCGUGAGAUGUUGGGUUAAGUCCCGCAACGAGCGCAACCCUUAUUAUCAGUUGCCAGCAUUAAGUUGGGCACUCUGGUGAGACUGCCGGUGACAAACCGGAGGAAGGUGGGGAUGACGUCAAAUCAUCAUGCCCCUUAUGACCUGGGCUACACACGUGCUACAAUGGAUGGUACAACGAGUUGCGAACUCGCGAGAGUAAGCUAAUCUCUUAAAGCCAUUCUCAGUUCGGAUUGUAGGCUGCAACUCGCCUACAUGAAGUCGGAAUCGCUAGUAAUCGCGGAUCAGCAUGCCGCGGUGAAUACGUUCCCGGGCCUUGUACACACCGCCCGUCACACCAUGAGAGUUUGUAACACCCAAAGUCGGUGGGGUAACCUUUUAGGAACCAGCCGCCUAAGGUGGGAC
RNAcentral lists this ribosomal RNA (1476 nucleotides) under uncultured organism. RNAcentral describes it as "16S ribosomal RNA". It matches the Rfam family "Bacterial small subunit ribosomal RNA". The record is from RNAcentral.